RNAcentral lists this ribosomal RNA (451 nucleotides) under uncultured organism. Its description in RNAcentral is "partial 16S ribosomal RNA". It matches the Rfam family "Bacterial small subunit ribosomal RNA", at positions 331 to 798 of the family's 1533-position model. The record is from RNAcentral.
GUACACUCCUGCGGGAGGCAGCAGUGGGGAAUAUUGGACAAUGGGCGCAAGCCUGAUCCAGCCAUGCCGCGUGAGUGAUGAAGGCCCUAGGGUUGUAAAGCUCUUUCACCGGUGAAGAUAAUGACGGUAACCGGAGAAGAAGCCCCGGCUAACUUCGUGCCAGCAGCGGCGGUAAUACGAAGGGGGCUAGCGUUGUUCGGAUUUACUGGGCGUAAAGCGCACGUAGGCGGACUAUUAAGUCAGGGGUGAAAUCCCGGGGCUCAACCCCGGAACUGCCUUUGAUACUGGUAGUCUUGAGUUCGAGAGAGGUGAGUGGAAUUCCGAGUGUAGAGGUGAAAUUCGUAGAUAUUCGGAGGAACACCAGUGGCGAAGGCGGCUCACUGGCUCGAGACUGACGCUGAGGUGCGAAAGCGUGGGCAGCAAACAGGAUUAGAUACCCUGAUAGUCCCAU